GCGCGCUUAGCUCAGUGGUAGAGCGACCCGUUUACACCGGGUAGGUCCGGGGUUCAAUCCCUCGAGCGCGCA
Molecule: transfer RNA, 72 nt
Filed under: Candidatus Giovannonibacteria bacterium RIFCSPHIGHO2_01_FULL_45_33
Lineage: Bacteria; Candidatus Giovannoniibacteriota
Also listed under: 3 other names
Description: tRNA-Val
Rfam family: tRNA
About the family: Transfer RNA (tRNA) molecules are approximately 80 nucleotides in length. Their secondary structure includes four short double-helical elements and three loops (D, anti-codon, and T loops).
Source: RNAcentral